ACCAUCCUGUUCCCUUCUCCAUGGGAUCUGACACUGGUCUUAGUGGUUGUAAAAGGAGGAAGAGUAAUAGAAGCUGGCCUCAAAGGGCUAGUAGUCAACCAGGAAGCACAUGGACUAGUUUCAAGCAAGG
Molecule: small nucleolar RNA, 130 nt
Organism: Sorex fumeus (smoky shrew)
Lineage: Eukaryota; Metazoa; Chordata; Mammalia; Eulipotyphla; Soricidae
Product: small nucleolar RNA SNORA61
Exons: 1
Source: RefSeq, a predicted model, not a curated record